This 277-nucleotide ribosomal RNA is filed under the name uncultured bacterium. Its description in RNAcentral is "partial 16S ribosomal RNA". It matches the Rfam family "Bacterial small subunit ribosomal RNA", at positions 28 to 326 of the family's 1533-position model. The record is from RNAcentral.
GAUAAACGCUGGCGGCGUGCCUAACACAUGCAAGUCGAACGCCCUUGGCAACAAGGGAGUGGCGGACGGGUGAGGAACACGUGGGUUAUCUACCUUGGGGUGAGGAAUACCGGCGAGAAAUCGCCGACAAUACCGCAUACGCUUCGCAAGAAGCAAAGUCGUAAGACGCCACAAGAUGAGCCUGCGCCCGAUUAGUUGGUUGGUGGGGUAAUGGCCUACCAAGACGGCGAUCGGUAGCUGGUCUGAGAGGACGAUCAGCCACACUGGGAUUGAGAAC